GCAACUCUGGAGCGGUUGGGCGGGGGAAAGCAGAAUUCUGGGAGUUGUGGCCUGGCGGGGCGAGCAUUAUUCACCAUAGCCAAGAUCUAGAAACAACCUAAGGAGCCAUCAACAGAGAAAUGGAUAAAGAAAAUGUGAUAUGUAACAUAUAUAAAAUGGAAUAUUGAAGCCAUCCUCCCAGCUAAAGCCCAAGAAUUCCUGAUGAAGUAUCCAGUGAUCCUGAUCCAUGGGUUGUGCCUAGCUAAUUUAAAAAGAAAAGGAGGGUCACCUGUGUGGCUCA
Long non-coding RNA from Lynx canadensis (Canada lynx), 280 nucleotides. RefSeq lists it as uncharacterized. The transcript is spliced from 3 exons. The record is from RefSeq and is a predicted model, not a curated record. Lineage: Eukaryota; Metazoa; Chordata; Mammalia; Carnivora; Felidae.